This 253-nucleotide ribosomal RNA is filed under the name uncultured bacterium. RNAcentral describes it as "partial 16S ribosomal RNA". It matches the Rfam family "Bacterial small subunit ribosomal RNA", at positions 524 to 776 of the family's 1533-position model. The record is from RNAcentral.
UACAGAGGGGGCAAGCGUUAUUCGGAAUUAUUGGGCGUAAAGGGCGCGUAGGCGGCCUGGCAAGUGGAAGGUGAAAUCCCACGGCUUAACCGAGGAACUGCCCUCCAAACUGCUUGGCUUGAGUCCGGGAGAGGUGAGUGGAAUUCCCAGUGUAGCGGUGAAAUGCGUAGAUAUUGGGAGGAACACCAGUGGCGAAGGCGGCUCACUGGACCGGUACUGACGCUGAUGCGCGAAAGCGUGGGGAGCAAACGGG